RNAcentral lists this ribosomal RNA (253 nucleotides) under uncultured bacterium. RNAcentral describes it as "partial 16S ribosomal RNA". It matches the Rfam family "Bacterial small subunit ribosomal RNA", at positions 524 to 776 of the family's 1533-position model. The record is from RNAcentral.
UACAGAGGGUGCAAGCGUUAAUCGGAAUUACUGGGCGUAAAGCGCGCGUCGGUGGUUUGUUAAGUUGGAUGUGAAAGCCCCGGGCUCAGCCUGGGAACUGCAUUCAAAACUGACAAGCUAGAGUAUGGUAGAGGGUGGUGGAAUUUCCUGUGUAGCGGUGAAAUGCGUAGAUAUAGGAAGGAACACCAGUGGCGAAGGCGACCACCUGGACUGAUACUGACACUGAGGUGCGAAAGCGUGGGGAGCAAACAGG